RNAcentral lists this ribosomal RNA (466 nucleotides) under uncultured bacterium. RNAcentral describes it as "bacterial SSU rRNA". It matches the Rfam family "Bacterial small subunit ribosomal RNA", at positions 28 to 524 of the family's 1533-position model. The record is from RNAcentral.
GAUGAACGCUGGCGGCGUGCCUAACACAUGCAAGUCGAACGCUCGCAAGAGAGUGGCGCACGGGUGGGUAACACGUAGCUAAUCUGCCCUCAAGACAAGGAUAACUGUAGGAAACUACUGCUAAUACUUGAUAAGCUUACGGACUGUAGAGGUCUAUAAGAAAGAUUUAUCGCUUGAGGAUGAGGCUGCGCGCCAUCAGCUAGUUGGUAAGGUAAUGGCUUACCAAGGCGACGACGGCUAGGGGACCUGAGAGGGUGACCCCCCACACUGGGACUGAGACACGGCCCAGACUCCUACGGGAGGCUGCAGACGAGAAUAUUCCGCAAUGGGCGAAAGCCUGACGGAGCGACGCCGCGUGAUUGAUGAAGUGCUUCGGUACGUAAAGAUCUUUUUAUCGGGGACGAAGUUUAUUGACGGUACCCGAUGAAUAAGGGGCUCCUAACUCUGUGCCAGCAGCCGCGGUAAU